UGCCGUCUUCGCGGCAAAUUUUAAAUCUGACAUUUUACAACGCCAAUCGAUCUCCACGUUCGGAUCCAUCAAAUGACAGCGAAGCUACAUCGCAUGCACACACACAUCGAUUACGAACGGGAGCCGAGCAACACGCAACCGAAUCUAGAACAUUUAAACUUAACCGAAAUCGACGACCGCGGGUGAAGUUAAAUUAUAAUACAUCAACAAGGCCUAGUGAUUCUAGAACAGUGCACGCGUCCAGGAGCUCCGUGUGGCAGUCCCAGCGAAGCUACAUCGCAUGCACACACACAUCGAUUACGAACGGGAGCCGAGCAACACGCAACCGAAUCUAGAACAUUUAAACUUAACCGAAAUCGACGACCGCGGGUGAAGUUAAAUUAUAAUACAUCAACAAGGCCUAGUGAUUCUAGAACAGUGCACGCGUCCAGGAGCUCCGUGUGGCAGUCCCAGGUGCGUAUGUGCAUUUACACUAUUUGUUGAAUCCUAGACGUACAUCGGGGACCUAGGAUACCUUGCUGGGCAAGUUC
Long non-coding RNA from Bombyx mori (domestic silkworm), 530 nucleotides. RefSeq lists it as uncharacterized. NCBI's taxonomy places the organism in Eukaryota, Metazoa, Arthropoda, Insecta, Lepidoptera, Bombycidae. The transcript is spliced from 2 exons. The record is from RefSeq and is a predicted model, not a curated record.